This 9624-nucleotide long non-coding RNA is filed under the name Homo sapiens (human). RNAcentral describes it as "non-protein coding lnc-RPRM-5:2". Lineage: Eukaryota; Metazoa; Chordata; Mammalia; Primates; Hominidae. The record is from RNAcentral.
GCCUUCUUUCCAAGGUGAGUCUUUAAAAAGUGUUCUCCCGCACUCAAGCCAGGAGGGAUGCAAGGAACAGGAACCCAAGCGCAAUUUUGCCUCCAAGCUUCCAGAGGCUCCUCUUUUCUUUCCCCACCACCGGCAUCCCGGGUCACCUCUUGACUCCCCACGGCCCUCCUGAUUAUCCUGCAGUACCCCCAAACUGACUGCUUAAAAUUAAUGAGUUGACAAGCGAGUCCCAACCCACCUGCCAACUCGCUGGCUGCCUAAGAAGCUGCCUUUACCUGCCUGGACCAGACCCUCCCCCCUCCCCGCCGCUCCCCAAUCUCCCGCCCCCUGGGACCGCUCCCCGCACCCCCGGCGCACCUGUCUCCUAUCUUUUAGCCAAAAUCCCGCCCAAAGGCAUGUCUGCCGGGCACUGGUGCAACGCCCCCUACCCACGCCCUCCGGGCUCAGAUUCCCGGGUUCCGGACUCCAGAGACCUGUCCGCCUGGCGUCCCCCGACCGCCGAGUUUCCGCGGGCGCCACCGGGGCCCUCCGGCGGACCCUCAAGGGCCCGCAGGCCGCCCCCGCGCUCAGCUGAGACACGGCAGUGCGCGAAGCCUGGGCACUCACCCAGCGGGAGAGGGCAGGAGGCGGCGCAGCGGGCGGUAGCGGCAGCCUGGCCUCGCACUCUGCGCUCACGGCUGUUUUCCUCGUUCCCACUUUUCCUGGUGUACCACGAUGGGCGCCAAUGCAGGUCCCCCAAGCUCCGCACCUCCCUGAGGGCACCGCGCUGUCCCUGCCAGAAAGAUCCUUGGCGCACAGAGCACAGAAUGACUCGAGCGGGGGCUCGUGGGUUCCUUGGCGCUGUGCCCUCCUUCCAGGCGACAGCGGUGCUGCUGGACGGGGUUCGAGCCUUGGGCUGCCGGUCAGACUUUCAGGUUAAACAGUAGCGCCGCUCUAGCUUUUCCUCUGCCUCUUCCUUCUUCGGUCCCCCACUCCUUGUCAGCGCCUCGGUGGCCCCGGGUGGAAGAUGCGAGGCGCAAGCCGGGGCAGCAGGAAUGUGGUGUGUGUGGUGGUGCGUGUGAUCAGCUGCAGAGCCGCGCUAGCCCCGCCUGUCCCUGCCUUCCCCCGCUGCUCCACCAGCCUGAAUUGCACCUCCGAGCCUCAGUUGAGCCUGCAGUGUCUGGCAGCUCAGGAAAAGCGAGCCCCUCCAAUGAGAAGCGGCUCUAAAUCUGCUCCCAAACGCCCGCCAACUCUCCUUCCUCGCCCCCUGCAUCAGUCAGAAAGCCCCCAGUAAAAAGCAAAUGCUGCUCUCUGAAGGAAGAGAAGUACAAUAUGUCUCUGUAACUGGGCACUCGUUUAAACGGAUGCCUGGAUUUGGGGUUGCAUCAUAAACAGAGAUCCCAACUGGCUCUCAGAUAGGCAUAUUCAGAACUCAAAGUUGCAGGAAGCAGGAGGGGCCUUAGGAUGAGAACAGAAAGGAGAGAAACACUAAUAGAAAUCCUUUCUGCAAAUGGCUCUAUUAGAAAGGCUCAGAAUAUCUAGAGUUAAUGUGUGCCUAUAAUUGAAGGAAGAAGGCUGGAUUUUAAUGGCCUCAGCCUGGCAGUUAACUUAAUGGAGGGGCAAAGUGCAGAAAUAGCUAAUAGAGUGCCCAUGAGUAAAUACCAGCUUGUUUACCACAUUUCACGUUUGCUUUAAAAUGCCAUGGUAUCUUAAGGCAUAUUUCAGUCAGCCCAGAUACAUGAAGUUGAUUUUGUUGGAAAAUCAUCAAAUCAUGGCAUUAUAAAAGCAAAAGGCUGCUAUAAGAUUCCCAUGGAAAGGAAAAUAAGUACAUAAUUACUCUAUGCAUUCUCUGCCAAUAGGUACUCCUCUCUACCUCUCUACUUAUAAACCAACUGCAGGAAAGUGCAUGUCAGGUUGUCAGCCAUAAGCAGGGGACUCUCACUGUUAUUUGGUUAAAACAUCUAUCCUCAGUUACAGAUGCUUCUCCUGCCAGUUCGCUGAUAAAAGGUCAGUAACUAUCUGUUUGUUCUCUUAAAAUUACAUAAGAAGGGAAAGUGACACCGUGGGAAGUGGAAACUUCUCUGGUCCUAGAAUCAUAAGACCUGAUUUGAGUCGCGUCUGUGCCAUUUACAAGCUGUGUGACCUUGAGCAAGUAGCUGAACAACUUUGAGACCUAAUUUUCUCCCCUGAGAAAUUGGGAGUUUGAACAUUUUCCUAGUGUUGGUAUGAAAAAAGAGAGUAAAUGUGUUUUUUUUAUUUCUGCUAUGAAGGAUGUUAUAUAGUGGGCUAUAAAGUUGCAACAAGACCAAGAAGAGAUUACAAAUGAGCUUUUGGAGUUGGCAGCAUGCUGUGAACUAACACCUAUACUCUCAUCUCAUCUCUGACUACUCUCCCCCAAGCUCAUUAUGCCCUUGGCAGCUUGGCUUCUUUCAAUUCCUGAUACACACCAAAGCAUAGCUCCAGCCCUGGGCCUUUGCACUAGAUCUGUUCCCUCUACCUAGAAAGUUCUUGCUCUGCCGCUCCGUGUUGCUCGCUCCUUCACUCAUUCAACUCUCAACCUAAAUGCAUCCUUCUCAGGGAAGCCUUCCCUAGCAUCUCAGGUAUUCCCAUCACAUCAACCUUAUCUAUGUUCCUCAUCUCACUUUUUUUUUUAGCUACCAUUUUCUUCAUUUGUUUGUUGUCUUUCUCUUCCACCAUUAUCAGUUGUAGCAUGUAAGCUGUACAAGAGCAAGGACCUCAUCUGUCUUGUUCUCUGCUAUGUCUCCAGUACCUAGAAAAGUAUCACAUACUAGGUCCACAAUAAAUAUUUAUUAGAUCAAUAAUAUGUGCCAAUCUAUAUCACUGGAAACUUUACAUGCAUUGAAGCUCUCUGAGUAAUAUGGAAUUAAAUAAAAGUAAUGACUAAAUCAGAUCACUUAUAUGGCAAUAUAAAAAACAUGUAAGUUUUUGUUGAAAAAGAGUAAUACUUCCUAUGCUCGUUAGCUUUAGAAAUGAUACUGAAUCAGGUUCCAAGUCUUUUUUAUUGUUAUUGCUGCAAUAUCCCUCAUAAUUCCCCCUCUCUUUAAAAAAAAAAAGUCACUACUGUUCUUCAAAUUCUCAUUUCAAGUUAGGCCCAACUCAAAUAACUUUCUUGUCUUUAUUUGGUUUUCCUCUCCUGCAGACUGCCCAGGAUAGUAGUACUAGAUCUCUCACCUUAAACCAUGUGUUUAGUAUUGUUAUAGAAAAUAAAAGUUCUCCAGUUAUUUCAUCUGGAAGAUCUUAAAACAUUCCCACUUUUUGAAAAACACUUUUUCAUGAAAAACCUUUGCCAUUUUCUAGCAACCAAAUUUAUAAACAAAUAAGUUUAUACUUCAGGAGACAUGGUCUAGUCUAAUCCUCUCAUUUUACAAGUGAGGAAAUUGGGGAUAUAAAGGCGAAAUAACUUGUUCAAUGUCACAGAGUUGAUAAGUGGAAACAGAUUUGACCACAGAACAAUAUGACUGUAGAACCUGGAUGCUCUACCGUCCCUUACCAGGUAGUGGCAGAGUAAGAAAAGAGCCUAGGAUUCCUGAUUCGUGGCAAAGGCCUUCUUCCUUUAUAGGCCUAGCUUCUCAUGCAGGUGAAAUCUAAGAUUCUCCAACACAUGGCAUAAUCUAGCUUUCCAAAUUAUCUCCUACCUUCCUUUUAAUGGGCACUUUGCUCUAGCCAACUUUGACUAUUAGGUAUUUCUCAAACAUGCCCUAUAUUAUCUUCAUUUGCUCACUUUUUUUCUCAUCACUUAGAAUAUCUUUUUUCUACACCUGCAAAGUUCAAAUAAUAGGCACUAGUAUGUAAGGAAAGGGAAGGACUUCUUCAUAUUUUAUUUCAAUUGCUAUUGAUGUCAUAAAGUUUUUCCUUAUAUACUCCCACUAAGAGUAAUACAUCCCUCCUCUGAACUCUCAUUUCCCUAGAUUUGCAAUGUGGCAUUUUUCACAUUCUAACUGGUAUUUCAGCUUAGAAUUUAUGAAGAUUCCCUCUGAGCACCCUGAGCAUCGACUUCUUAAUAAUUUGGUACCAUCCGGUAUUCCAUGAUCCAAACUGGCCUUACGCAUGAUAAACACUUGAUAGAGUUUUAGAGAGAACCAAAAUUUAUUAAGAACCUACUUUAAUGUGCCAGGUAAUGUGCUUAGAACUGUACAGGUUAGCAUUUAUAUUACACAGAUAGGCAGUGAAGCAGGGAUUCCAAAACACAUCUGCUUAUUGUCAAGAUUUCUAUUCUUUUAAUGACACAGUCCUGCCAGGGAAAUUAAAUAUUUUUAAGGAUGCCAUUUUGUCACACUUUAAAUGUCACUGAGGCUUUGACCUAUUUGUGACAUUGAGUUCAACUCCUUGAAAAUGUUCACAGAUGAACCAAACUCAUCUUUUCCUGUGAGGGCAGCUGCUUCCAGGAUGAGGUUCUGGAGGGCAGCCAGCCCCGUUGUGCAGAGGCCAGGAGGAUGUGUGGGGAAUGGAUGAUGGAAGGCCUCCUAAUCAGGUGCUGUCUGAUGAACUGAAGUGAAACACUGCAAGCAGAAUGGGUCAAAGGAGAGAGAGGCACACAAUUUCAGGCCAGGCCACAAAGCCAGAAAAGAUCUGGAAAAUGUAACUGCAGAAUACAAAAUCAUCUGGAGUCUAACAUUUAAAGAUAGGGUGGUAGAUUACGAGAAAACUACCAUACAGUUCAUGAGGGUGGGGGGGAUCAAAGCUAUAUUUAACAAACUCGGCUAGGAGCAAGCUACAUAUUUAUUCUGCCUGGAAAGUACUUCUGGCAGUGUCUUAUUUGCUGUGUCCAAAAUUAGUAAUAUCAUGAAUAACUAUAACUUCAAAAAUGAAGAAUAUGAUUCUGUGUUUUAUACUUUCUACAUGCACUUAUCCUAUUAUGUAACUGAACGGUGUGGGGAAAAGAGUAUAUCUAAUAUGAAAGAAAAAACCUCUGCCCCUGAGAAGUCCAAAUUCUAAAAAUGACUUAAUCGGCCAACUGUGACAAAAGCAAGGCUUUGAACAUCUCAGUAUCCCUGGAGUCUGUCUUCUCGUCAUUCACUUAUUGCCACUGUGACAUACCACGUGACAGUCUGCAUGGCCAGAAAUAUUAAUUACUGUCUGGGGAAGAUGGUAUUAUAUUUAAUACUCCUUUACUCCUAAUCCUACCAUUCUCCAAAAGUACAAUGAAGAGAUGGGCAGGCCUGGGGAUCUAAUGCUUUCAUACAUCAAAAGGUGACACAUUCCCAUUGCCACCAUAAGUUUUGCUAUAUCUGGGAAGAGGUCACUCUUUGAAAUUCUAUAUGCAAUUUUGGGAAAUAGAAUGGUGUUCCUUUUUUUUUACCCUCCUAAAAAAGAAUGCUGAAGUUAUUUUCUCUCUUGCCAAAAAGAGAAGAAAAAAACGAGAAGGAGAAAUCAGUUUGAGAUUUGAUUGCGCAGACGUGAGAACAGAGGCAUUGCCAUACCAUGGCAGAUGACUCAUCCAGCCUUUAAUCUUGGCUCCAAACCCUGGCCUCUGCCUGAGGAUUCGGAGAAAGGCAAUAUGCCAUUCUAACUUGUAGACCAUUUAUUUAACAAGGUUUUCCUGACUUAAACCUUCUCUUUACUGCAAAGCUGUACAUUGGAGUAUGCUGAUUUAUGAAAUAAUAAGGACUUUUAAAGUCUUCAAGAGCUCGACAUCUGUUUAAAAAGAAAUAACUGUUUUAUCAGACCUAAAGUUUUUUUUGGCAGGGCUUCAAAGAAAAAUAACAAUUUCCUAUUCUCAUCUAGGUACAUGGAAGUUAUACUGAGGAUUUCUCCCCCUGAGAACACCAAUGAAGUCGCAGAUGUCAAAAUAUGUAUAAGAAUUUUGCCUAAUUCAGUACAAUAAACCCUUAAUGUGCACAAACCAUGUAUCUAGCACUAUGCCAAGGUUUGUGCAGAUCAGAAAUGAAGAAAUUAUGUCAACAAAAUAUAUUAUGACAAUAUGUAUUUUUUCAAAAUAAUAAUGACAAUAAUAAUAAUCAAUACAAUGUGGUAAGUACCUAAAGGAAGAGGACUGCUUUAUUUGCAUUCAGAGGAACAAGUAAGUCCCUUCAGGAAAUAUGGCUCUGGCUAAUGGGAGUUUUCCAAACCUAUCAAACUGGAAUCACUUACAUUUGGUUCAGCAUUAAAUUCUCUCUGCUCAGACUACUUAAUUUUAGAACUCUGAGAACGGAUUUUUAAUGACAAGAUUUUUAAGGGUAAGAUUUUUACACAAUUAGAAUAAAAUAAGAAAUAAUUUGUAACCAUGUUAUAGAACCUUUCAAACAUGUAUUAAAAUUCUGGGAGAAAAAUACAAACAGUAGAUUUUAGAGGUGGUAAAAUUUUCACUCUAAUAUUCUGUGUAUGUAUAUACAGAAAAGAUUGCAAUUAUUUUUCAGUAAUUGGAAAACAGUAAUAAAAGUUUUAAACAAUGUUUAAAAAUAUUAAGGCAGAUAAUAACGUCAACACAGCUUAUCUGGGAAGCAGAUGCUGAGAGAAAGUUAAGAGGGGAAGUUUCUUAGGGUUCAAUGCCUAAAAAAGAUAAAAGGCGAAAGAAGAAAAUGAAGCAGAGACAGACUUCAACUGUGAUGCAGAGCUGACACCUGUGAAAGGAAAGAUGGAGAGGUAUAAGAAGAAGAAUUGAGUAGAGAGGGACUCAGACUACGAUGUAAAUCAGAUGUAAGUCAGAUAAAGUCUUGGCUAACUCAAUGGGGAGCUCCCGAGCCCAGCGUGCCCAUUAGAAGAGUACCACAUUGGGAAAAGAUGGCCUGGUCCUAAUAGCCCACCGAGUUGUCAGUGGCUGGGAGCUGCCCUUGUCAGUCCUUGUCUUUAGCUGAAUGCUGCUUCAGAUCUGGAAAGGUGCUGUAACUGGAGGCCAUGAGCUAACUGCAUGGCCUCCAGGUGAAAGGGCAAGCUCUUCCUGAAGGAAGAUCCAGUGGCAUAUCUCCAUGGCUGCCAGACAGAGUAGAGAAAUGGAACUUAUCGGUGUCUCUUCAGAAGUUUUGUUACAAAUAUCCAGAAAUAUUUCUAUAAUCUAAUCAGCAGAUUAUGAAUAUAUGCAUUAGACUUUAGUUUUGGUGCAAUCACAUGAAUUCCAUUUUGUGGAGUAAGAGGUGACUGGGGUAUAGGGUACAACCCAUAGCCAUCCAUGUUCAUCUUUGUUUUGAAUAUAAUUGGCUAGAAGAUAUACAUAUAUCUAUGUAACUUCCUCUAGCAUCCUCCAGUAUGGAGGCUGCAUUAAGACUGCAUGAAGGAGAGGGAGAGAAGGGAGAAACAGAGCAGCUGGACAAGAGGACAGGUAUAGGGAAUAAGGGAGAAGCCAGUAAGGCAGGAAAGACCCUCCGUGACAAAGGGGCAGGGAACAGAACUCAAACAUUUAAUGGCAGGUAACCCAGGUUAGAAUGGUAAAUUGAAAGGUGAAUAUAAAGGGAGAAUGGUGAAAUGAAUUUUCUGAAAUUAAUUGCUGUGUUUAUAGUUUUUAGCCAUGCAUCGGAAUCACCUCAGGACUCCACUCCCAAUCAAUUAUAUAUCUGGGGGAGGACCAAGGCGUUGGUAUUUUUCAGAAGCUCCACUGGUGAUUCUGACAGCACAGCUAGGAUUAAGAAACUGAUCAAUGGGAACGGCAUGCCUGUUGCAGAGGAGCUUCCCUGGGAAAUGUCACACACAGAACAUCAAUCUUCCUUCCCCACUCCUGAGAUCCCUCAUUCUUUGGCACCAGGAACAGUUGCAAUUAGUAAACCCUGGUUCCCUGCUGUCUCACAAAUCGCAAGAGUCCAACGUGUGGAUAUAAACUUUUGUUCAUGGGAGGAUCUUUCUCCCAGUGGAAAAGCAACUGGGAAAAGCAGGACACACUGCACAGUGACUGCAGUUUCAUCCAAUGCCACCACCCAUGCAGGCAUAAAUAAUGAACAUGGAUGGGGGAGUCUGGAGCUGCUGAAUUGUAAGGCUCAUAAAUGUUUAAACUUUUUCCAUUAAUAAUAUUUCUGCUUUCUGUGUACGUGUAUGUAGAAGUUCUGUCUUUAUAAUUCUCACCACUUUGCAUCAUACUUUCCAGGAGGAAGAAAGAACACAGAAAUUAAAAUUCUCACAAAGGUUACCAUUAAGCUAGAGGAAGACCACACCACUGUGUGUCCACAAAGAUACAGAGCCAGGCCGGGUUCAGCCAUGCUGGUCAUCUGCUCUAUAUAAUACAAUUAUUUAGAGAUGGUGGGUAGAGAACAACUACAGAAAAAAAAAAACUGCCAGAAACUAGAAUGUCAUUUUUACACACUCAUUUGUAGAAUUCCUCCCAGUUUUUACUGAAGGGAACUUUAAAAUGAUUUUCAUUUGGGGAAAGAACUGUUUUGAGUUUACCCUAUAAGAUGGCCACUAAAACUCACCCACUUUCAUGAUUACCCAGCCAUCCUCAGAUCAUCUUCAUGAUUUUCCUGGAAAUAACGGAAGAGGCCCUGGGGAUGAUUUUAUUGGUAGAGUGGGAAUGUAUUAAAAUUCUCUACUUCCUUGUUACAUGGUCUUUCCUCCACCCUACAAGGUGUGUGCUUGUAACUCAAAUUUCCAUUUGAGUAAUUAGCAAUUAUUAUUUAAAACUAACCUGAAAAUAAAAAUUGUAUUCAAUUCAUUCAUAGGGAGCAUCUACCUAUUUAUUAUUACCACAUAGGUGAUGUGACUCUAGAAACAUCUUGGUAUUCAAAUAGCCAAUUAAAAUAUAAAAUGUAAUGAUUUUCUAAAGCUACUCGUUUUCCUUCUCUCAUCUCUAUCUACUAAUUGGAAAGUCUAUUCUCCAAACACAGCAAAGAUGAUUGACAGAAUUCUAAAAAUACACAAAUUUCCCUAUUAAAGAGGGUGAAUGGAUGUUAGCACUGUAUCAGACACAUAAUAUUAAGGAGAUACCUGCUGUUUAACAUUAACAUUCUGUGUAGUUUUUGUUUUGCAUCAAACAGACAUCAAAAAGUGAAUAAAAACAUGUCGUGAAAUUACCAAAUAAUAAAUUAACUUCCUGGAUACAAGGAAGUUAUUUUAGCAAGUUCUUUUUAAUAAAAGCAAAGAAUGGGGAUGUAACAAUUAGAGAAAUGUGGAGGAAAACAUAAGAAAGUUGGGAGAGGGAGGUUAAAUCUCACUUCCAGUUAUCAGUAAAGUGCACAUUCUUUUCUGUAUUCUGUGAGGCUGGAGGUGCUGCUGAUAGAAUGUCCUCACAUAUUCUGUCAAUGCCAGGAUGCAAACAUCACUAAAUAAACCCUCGUGUCAAAAUGUCACAUAGUGAUUAUUUAUGCUUCUUGACAACAUCAAUGAAUGACAAGGCUGCCUCUACAGCUGUGAAAGGUUGCAUACCAAUUGUUAGAGGUAACAUAGAUGAAGGACAAAGUAGUUAUCAGAAUUCAUUUAAACUGUGCUAUUAAAUUGGAUAUAUUUGCAGUAGCCAUCACAGUAAAUACUACUGUGAUUCUCCUGAAAGAAUAUUGCCUAAACAAUUUAACGCAGAACAUUUCCUAAUUACCAUGCAUUUCUGAAUCUCUGCUACCAUGUAGAUAUUCAUACUGAAAGAGAAGUGUCAUUUCUUUUUCUUCUUUAAUUUGUCAUUGUUUCCCAGUGUUCUUGCUUCUGGAAUUGAAUUUGAAGUCCAUUUUUUAAGGGUACUGCAAUUAUUAACGAAGUCUGGCAUGAUAAUGU